UCGGUGACAGUGGUGCAUGGUUAUCGUCAGCUCGUGUCGUGAGAUGUUGGGUUAAGUCCCGCAACGAGCGCAACCCCUAUUGUUAGUUGCCAUCAUUCAGUUGGGCACUCUAGCGAGACUGCCGGUAAUAAACCGGAGGAAGGUGGGGAUGACGUCAAAUCAUCAUGCCCCUUAUGACCUGGGCUACACACGUGCUACAAUGGUUGGUACAACGAGUUGCGAGUCGGUGACGGCGAGCUAAUCUCUUAAAGCCAAUCUCAGUUCGGAUUGUAGGCUGCAACUCGCCUACAUGAAGUCGGAAUCGCUAGUAAUCGCGGAUCAGCACGCCGCGGUGAAUACGUUCCCGGGCCUU
Molecule: ribosomal RNA, 352 nt
Filed under: uncultured Streptococcus sp.
Lineage: Bacteria; Bacillati; Bacillota; Bacilli; Lactobacillales; Streptococcaceae
Description: bacterial SSU rRNA
Rfam family: Bacterial small subunit ribosomal RNA
Source: RNAcentral